GAGGGUAGAGCUCAGUGGUAGAGUGCGUGCUUAGCAUGCAUGAGGUCCUGGGUUCAAUCCCCAGCACCUCCA
Molecule: transfer RNA, 72 nt
Filed under: Camelus bactrianus (Bactrian camel)
Lineage: Eukaryota; Metazoa; Chordata; Mammalia; Artiodactyla; Camelidae
Also listed under: 2 other names
Rfam family: tRNA
About the family: Transfer RNA (tRNA) molecules are approximately 80 nucleotides in length. Their secondary structure includes four short double-helical elements and three loops (D, anti-codon, and T loops). Further hydrogen bonds mediate the characteristic L-shaped molecular structure. tRNAs have two regions of fundamental functional importance: the anti-codon, which is responsible for specific mRNA codon recognition, and the 3' end, to which the tRNAs corresponding amino acid is attached (by aminoacyl-tRNA synthetases). tRNAs cope with the degeneracy of the genetic code in two manners: having more than one tRNA (with a specific anti-codon) for a particular amino acid; and 'wobble' base-pairing, i.e. permitting non-standard base-pairing at the 3rd anti-codon position.
Source: Rfam by way of RNAcentral